This 264-nucleotide ribosomal RNA is filed under the name uncultured archaeon. Its description in RNAcentral is "partial 16S ribosomal RNA". It matches the Rfam family "Archaeal small subunit ribosomal RNA", at positions 717 to 982 of the family's 1478-position model. The record is from RNAcentral.
ACACGACUACAUUAGAUACCCGGGUAGUCCCAGCCCUAAACGAUGCGCGUUAGGUGUAUCGGUGACCACGAGUCACCGAGGUGCCGAAGGGAAACCGUGAAACGUGCCGCCUGGGAAGUACGGUCGCAAGGCUGAAACUUAAAGGAAUUGGCGGGGAGCACCACAACGGGUGGAGCCUGCGGUUUAAUUGGACUCAACGCCGGGAAGCUCACCGGAUAAGACAGCGGAAUGAUUGCCGGGCUGAAGACUCUGCAUGACUAGCUG